GCGGAUAUGGCGGAAUUGGCAGACGCGCCAGAUUUAGGUUCUGGUGGGAGACCGUGCAGGUUCGAUUCCUGUUAUCCGCAGCA
RNAcentral lists this transfer RNA (83 nucleotides) under Clostridiaceae bacterium. Its description in RNAcentral is "tRNA-Leu". It matches the Rfam family "tRNA". Rfam says of the family: Transfer RNA (tRNA) molecules are approximately 80 nucleotides in length. Lineage: Bacteria; Bacillati; Bacillota; Clostridia; Eubacteriales; Clostridiaceae. The record is from RNAcentral.